UCUCUCUCUCUCUCUCUCUCUCUCUCUCUCAAUGAGAUUCCAAUUGAUCCAAAAACCUCGAAACGGCGCCGCCACGCCUGAAGACAAAGAUGACGACGACGAAGAAGUUCCGAUCGGACUCUGAUUCUCUACUCGUCUCAAAAACCGAAUGCUCGCAGCGAGGCCUCUGGUUUCUCUGUGAACUUAACCUCGUGCUCGUACUUCAGCGGCGGAAUUUCAUGCGAGUCAAGCAGAGUCUCAAUUGGAUCUGAGAGUGAGGUGAGGUCGAUUUGAAGAAGAGAAGUUUCGGCGAAACGAAGCCGCUUCGAAAACUUACUCGAUCGAGUUAUGGAGGAAAGGCGAUGAAGUUGAGCUUUCAGAGUUGUCGUGCGUGGAGUGUACAUAGCUUUUUGCGGUCGCACGAUAAUCAUCAACGGCCAGGCUUAGAAGGUAAGAACUUACAAGGAACAAAAAGAGCGAAUCCAAUCCAAAUCCUAGAAGACCCUUCCAGACUCCGGUUAUUCUCUACUCUGAUUCUGGUUUUCACCUCUGUGUUUUGGGACAAAUCAUAGUGUACAGUGUACAAUUGUAUUUACCAUGUAUCAAUUUGACUGCAGGAAAGUUGCAAUUAUCAAUUUGGAUCCAGCUAAGGAUUUAUUACUGUAUCAUCUUCGAUUUGUUUAGCUUUUAGUUAAUAUUUUAUAGUAUGUGAAACCUUAAGUUAAAAUGCAGGUAUGAAUGUGCUGUGAACGUAGCUGAAGACUAAGAGUGGAAUUUUAAAGAAUUCUUCCCUUUUGCAUUUGUAGUGGUAGAUUUCGAAACUGAUGUGAAUUUGGAUAUUGAAAUUUCCAUUGGCCAAGAGAUCAUUCGGCUAACCAAGAAAUGUGGAAAUGAAGUCUCGUGCUGAUAGUAACUUUAUAUAACUAUUGUAAUAGAUUUUCACAACUAUAUUAAUGGCUUUUUACAACAAUGAAAGUAGCUUUUUACAUAAUUAUAUCAUUGUUGAACCCGAGAUACUUUUUGUAUCAUUGAAUAUGAUUUGUUUUCUUGAUUGUA
This is a long non-coding RNA of Rosa rugosa (rugosa rose), 1035 nucleotides long. RefSeq lists it as uncharacterized. The record is from RefSeq and is a predicted model, not a curated record. NCBI's taxonomy places the organism in Eukaryota, Viridiplantae, Streptophyta, Magnoliopsida, Rosales, Rosaceae. The transcript is spliced from 2 exons.